UACGGGAGGCAGCAGUGGGGAAUAUUGCACAAUGGGCGAAAGCCUGAUGCAGCUAUGCCGCGUGUAUGAAGAAGGCCUUAGGGUUGUAAAGUACUUUCAUCGGGGAGGAAAAACAAAACUAAUAAUUUUAUUUCUUGACGUUACCCGAAAAAGAAGCACCGGCUAACUCCGUGCCAGCAGCCGCGGUAAUACGGAGGGUGCUAGCGUUAAUCAGAAUUACUGGGCGUAAAGAGCACGUAGGUGGUUUUUUAAAGUCAGAUGUGAAAUCCCUGGGCUUAACCUAGGAACUGCAUUUUGAAACUGAAAUACUAGAGUAUCGUAGAGGGAGGUAGAAUUCUAGGUGUAGCGGUGAAAUGCGUAGAUAUCUGGAGGAAUACCUGUGGCGAAAGCGGCCUCCUAAACGAAUACUGACACUGAGGUGCGAAAGCGUGGGGAGCAAACAGGGAUUAGAUACC
Molecule: ribosomal RNA, 455 nt
Filed under: uncultured bacterium
Lineage: Bacteria
Description: bacterial SSU rRNA
Rfam family: Bacterial small subunit ribosomal RNA
Source: RNAcentral